This 1453-nucleotide ribosomal RNA is filed under the name uncultured organism. RNAcentral's name for it is "partial small subunit ribosomal RNA". It matches the Rfam family "Bacterial small subunit ribosomal RNA". The record is from RNAcentral.
AGCGGCAGGCUUAACACAUGCAAGUCGAGGGGCAGCGGGGAGGAAGCUUGCUUUCUCCGCCGGCGACCGGCGCACGGGUGAGUAACACGUAUGCAACCUGCCCCUGUCAGGGGGACAACCCGCCGAAAGGCGGGCUAAACCCGCGUACAUGCCACCGGGGCAUCCCGGAGGCAGGAAAGGCUUCGGCCGGACAGGGAUGGGCAUGCGGCGCAUUAGGCAGUAGGCGGGGUAACGGCCCACCUAACCGACGAUGCGUAGGGGUUCUGAGAGGAAGGUCCCCCACACUGGUACUGAGACACGGACCAGACUCCUACGGGAGGCAGCAGUGAGGAAUAUUGGUCAAUGGUCGGGAGACUGAACCAGCCAAGCCGCGUGAGGGAUGAAGGUACAGAGUAUCGUAAACCUCUUUUGUCAGGGAACAAAGGCGGGGACGUGUCCCCGGAUGAGUGUACCUGAAGAAAAAGCAUCGGCUAACUCCGUGCCAGCAGCCGCGGUAAUACGGAGGAUGCGAGCGUUAUCCGGAUUUAUUGGGUUUAAAGGGUGCGCAGGCGGUCUGUUAAGUCAGCGGUCAAAGCCCGGGGCUCAACCCCGGCCCGCCGUUGAAACUGGCAGUCUCGAGUUGGAGAGAAGUAUGCGGAAUGCGCGGUGUAGCGGUGAAAUGCAUAGAUAUCGCGCAGAACUCCGAUUGCGAAGGCAGCAUGCCGGCUCCACACUGACGCUGAGGCACGAAAGCGUGGGUAUCGAACAGGAUUAGAUACCCUGGUAGUCCACGCAGUAAACGAUGAAUGCUGGCUGUCCGGGGGGAUUGACCCCUGGGUGGCGAAGCGAAAGCGAUAAGCAUCCCACCUGGGGAGUACGCCGGCAACGGUGAAACUCAAAGGAAUUGACGGGGGCCCGCACAAGCGGAGGAACAUGUGGUUUAAUUCGAUGAUACGCGAGGAACCUUACCCGGGCUCAAACGGGGAGUGACUCAGGCAGAGACGCCUGUUUCCCACGGGACACUCCCCGAGGUGCUGCAUGGUUGUCGUCAGCUCGUGCCGUGAGGUGUCGGCUUAAGUGCCAUAACGAGCGCAACCCCCGCGUGCAGUUGCUAACAGAUAACGCUGAGGACUCUGCACGGACUGCCGGCGCAAGCCGCGAGGAAGGCGGGGAUGAUGUCAAAUCAGCACGGCCCUUACGUCCGGGGCGACACACGUGUUACAAUGGGUGGUACAGCGGGAAGCCAGGCGGCGACGCCGAGCGGAACCCGAAAUCCACUCUCAGUUCGGAUCGGAGUCUGCAACCCGACUCCGUGAAGCUGGAUUCGCUAGUAAUCGCGCAUCAGCCAUGGCGCGGUGAAUACGUUCCCGGGCCUUGUACACACCGCCCGUCAAGCCAUGGGAGCCGAGGGCGCUUGAAGUGCGUCGCCGCGAGGCGCGCCCUAGAGCGAAAUCGGUGACUGGGGCUAAGUCAU